AAGAAAAAGAACUUUCAGUCCCUGGACAACAGGCAGUGCAGGAUAGAGAGCCAUAUGGCUUCCUUGGCUCCCUGCCUGGAGAGAAUUUCCGGGCUGUAGCCCAGGAAGAGGGAACUCAAACAGACGCCAGCGGUCUCCCUGGGGUGAGGAGACCACGUUCCACGGGGAGAAUCCCCAGGGCAGAGAGGGACGCUAGGCCCCGGGCAGAGGUUGCCACACACCUUCAGGGGGUUUCUUUGAUUUGGACAUGUGGACGAUGGCCACACCCGGUGAUGUCGCCGGAGGAAGCCGCCGGCUCAGUGGCAAGUGAGUGGGGACAGUGACAGCCCACAGCGCUCUUAGCCUGACUUGGGGUUGGGGUGGAGGCAAGCAUGCUCCCUGCUGAGGCUGUGGGCAUUUGCAGGCCUAACCCUGGGGCUGCGUGCGGGGGGCGGGGGAGGAAAGCUGGGGUCAACCUGAAAAUGGCCCGAACUUUGUCCUCUCCCACGCACAUAUAGAUCAUUGUCAGAGGACAGAAUUCUCACUGGCUCAGGGUGGGCGGCUCAGUGGGUUAACCGUCUGCCUUUGGCUCAAGUCAUGAUCCCAGGGUCAUAGGACCAACCCCCCUUUUGGGCUCCCCACUCAGCCUGGAGUCUGUGUCUCCCUCUCACUCUGCUGCUCCCCCUGCUUGGGCUCUCUCUUUCUGUCAAAUGAAUAAAUAAAACCUUGAAAAAAAAAAUGAGCGGACCUGAAGCUGCACAGACACAGGGGCAUUCCUAGGAAUCCGAGCUUAAGAAUAAAAACAAGAAUUAUUUUAAAUGGGGCAGACACAGCAGUGGCCACCCACCCUGGGGGAAGCAGAUUCACUGAUUUGGCCCCUGGCAAUUGUUAAACAAAGAAACAAACAAAAGCCAGUGACAACAACCACCUGUAGAGGGCAUCAGAAUCCAGUCUAAACGCAGGAAAAGCAAGUACUCUAAUCUGUCUCUGCCGGGGCCCAGAUGUUGCAGUUAGCAGACAAAGACUUUGGAACAGCUAUUAUAAAAUAUGCUCAAAGAACUAAAAUAAAAAGACUCAAAGGAAAGUGUGACAACAAAAUAAAUAAUCUUGAUAAGAGCUUAGAAAAAAUAUUUUUUUGAGAGAGAGUGGGGAAGGAUCCUAGGGAGAGGGGGACAAACAGACUCACUGUGCGGGGAGCCCAACGCAGGGCUCGAUCUCGUAACCCUAACUGAGGCGAUGACCUGAGCUGGAAUCAAGAGUUGGCCGCUUAACGGACUGAGCCCCCCAGACGCUCCAGAUUUUUUUUUUUUUAAAGGAAUGAAGUACUGAUAUGUGCUACAUUAUGGAUGAGCCUUCCAAACAUGCUAAUUGAAAGAAUCUGGAUGCAUAAGGAAAAAUACUGGG
This 1383-nucleotide long non-coding RNA is filed under the name Mustela putorius furo (domestic ferret). RNAcentral describes it as "lncRNA (ENSMPUG00000031065.1)". Lineage: Eukaryota; Metazoa; Chordata; Mammalia; Carnivora; Mustelidae. The record is from RNAcentral.